RNAcentral lists this transfer RNA (68 nucleotides) under bovine gut metagenome. It matches the Rfam family "tRNA", at positions 5 to 66 of the family's 71-position model. From Rfam's summary of the family: Transfer RNA (tRNA) molecules are approximately 80 nucleotides in length. Their secondary structure includes four short double-helical elements and three loops (D, anti-codon, and T loops). RNAcentral also lists the same sequence under 1 other name. The record is from RNAcentral.
CCAUAGCUCAGCAGGAUAGAGCGACCGCCUCCUAAGCGGUAGGCCGGGGGUUCGAAUCCCUUUGGGUG